CCUACGGGUGGCUGCAGUGGGGAAUAUUGCACAAUGGGCGAAAGCCUGAUGCAGCAACGCCGCGUGAGCGAUGAAGGCCUUCAGGUCGUAAAGCUCUGUCCUCAAGGACGAUAAUGACGGUACUUGAGGAGGAAGCCCCGUCUACCUACGUCCCAGCAGCCGCGGUAAUAAGUAGGGGGCUAGAGUUAUCCGGAAGGACGAGGCGUAAAGGGUGCGUCGGUGGUUUCUUAAGUCAGAGGUGAAAGGCUACGGCUCAACCGUAGUAAGCCUUUGAAACUGGGGAACUUGAGUGCAGGAGAGGCGAGUGGAAUUCCUAGUGUAGCGGUGAAAUGCGUAGAUAUUAGGAGGAACACCAGUUGCGAAGGCGGCUCGCUGGACUGUAACUGACACUGAGGCACGAAAGCGUGGGGAGCAAACAGGAUUAGAUACCCCAGUAGUC
RNAcentral lists this ribosomal RNA (439 nucleotides) under uncultured bacterium. RNAcentral's name for it is "partial 16S ribosomal RNA". It matches the Rfam family "Bacterial small subunit ribosomal RNA", at positions 338 to 795 of the family's 1533-position model. The record is from RNAcentral.